UGGCUCAGUUGGUAGAGCAUGGCGCUUGCAACGUCAGGAUUGUGGGUUUGAUUCCCAU
Non-coding RNA from Salmo salar (Atlantic salmon), 58 nucleotides. The record is from Rfam. Lineage: Eukaryota; Metazoa; Chordata; Actinopteri; Salmoniformes; Salmonidae.